UCGAGGGAAUUACUCGAGGGAUUUUAUAUCUUCAUCAAGAUUCACGGCUCACAAUCAUACAUCGUGACCUCAAAGCGAGUAACAUUCUCUUAGAUGCAGAUAUGAACCCGAAAAUCGCAGAUUUUGGAAUGGCAAGGAAUUUCAGAGUGGACCAGACUGAAGACAAUACAGGAAGAGUAGUUGGAACAUUGUAAAUAAUCGUCCAUUUCACUAACAUUCUGUCUGUCCUUUUUUUUUUCCUGAUAAAACUAAAAGUGAUAUGUGCUGUGUUUUGCAGUGGUUACAUGCCUCCCGAGUAUGUGGCGAAUGGGCAGUUCUCGAUGAAAUCUGAUGUUUAUAGUUUCGGAGUAUUGAUUCUGGAGAUAAUUGUUUGCAAAAAGAGCAGUAGCUUCCACCAGAUAGAUAGUUCAGUAGGCAACCUGGUCACAUAUGUUAGUACUAAAAAGCCAAUGCAAGCUCCAACUUCUUUUUACUCUUUUAAACUGUGACCAUGGCCCUAAACUUUGGUUUCUUGAUAAAUGACUUACAGGUUUGGAGGCUUUGGAACAAUGGAUUAUCGUUGGAACUCAUAGACCCGGCCAUAGGGGAGAAUUAUGAUAAAGAUGAAGUCAUUAGAUGCAUCCACAUCGGGUUAUUGUGCGUUCAAGAAAAUCCUGCAGAUCGUCCAACCAUGUCCAAUGUUUUCCAGAUGCUCACUAAUAAUUCAAUCACUCUGCCCGUUCCUCAAACACCUGGAUUUGUCUUCACGGUCAGAUCCGAGCCAAACCCAUUAGCUGAGAGAUAUCAGCCUCGUUCGUCUACUGCCAUUUCGUUUGCUUGUUCCAUUGAUGAUGCAUCGAUCACGAGCGUCAAUCCUCGUUGAAAUUAGAGGUUAAUGAUAAUAUGUAGAUGAUCCUUUCGCAAGCCAAAACUCUAAAUAGUCACUCAUAAUUAAUGUGCAUAAAAAAUCACGUUUUGAUGAAAUUGACAAGAGCAACAAUUACUACAUGACGCGCACACAUUCUCUGAAUCAUCUAAAGAAAAGAAAAAAUAGGGAAAGAAGAGAAACUCUGUUUUUUUUUUUUUUUUUUUUUUUUUUUUUUUUUUUUUUUGGAGCCAUUUCUGUUUCUAUACAACAUUGUGGAACACUACAAAAUGGUCAGAGUCUAUAGCAUGGUGAUGCUUCUAUAAACCCUAUAACCCCUUCAUAUCUUGUGUGACUACGAUAUGCUUUGUGAGUUCUAUAAAAUGGUGUACAUUUUUCGGUUACUUUUUGGGUUUCGUUUAACAUGGGAUAGGUUAUCACCCUGGGAACGUGCUACACAAGUAACUGGAUCCAAAAAAUCAUAGGAGACUUGGGAGUUUUUGGGUUCAACGGUUAAAACAUAUGGUUACGAAUGAUGAUGAAAUUCAACGUUUGCCAUUAUCCCAAAACCAUUGACUUUUGUCGCGGGCCCGUUUCACGCCGUAUAUGUUCAACAUGGUUUAAGGACCACAGUUAUCAGUUUUGCGAAUUCAACAUUUUGAAAAUUGCAGAGAAACUUCUAUUUCUUUUUUAGUAAGUAAGAUUUUGAAACAAAAAACGCGUAAACACAAAAGACAAAGAAUUAGCGAUUUAAAAAAAAGAAAAUAAGAAUUGGGGAUAAUGUUUUAAGGGAAUAAGACUAUGUGAUGAACGCUUAAUUGUAUCUAAAUCAUUACCUGUAAAGUUCAUUAUUCAGGUCUUAUGGGCGAAUGGAGAUGGUGUGCUAGGUUUAUAAUAGGACCUAAGAAAACUUAGAGCUCACGAAACUAAGGACUCUGAAAGAAAAAGAAAAAAGAAAAAAGAAACCAAGGACUCAUCAGGAACUGGUGGUUUUAAGGGAUUUUUCUAGGGUUUUGCUACGCAAUUUCGUUUUGUUAAAUUUGGGCUAAUUCUGGGCUUCCAACUAAAAACCAAUUGGCAAUUAGUGGAUUGGCCCUAACCCUUUAUAUAUUAUUGGUUGUCCCAUCAAACUUCCGAUGUGGGACUUGGAUUGUAUCUCCAACAAUCUCCCCUUCAAUCCAAGGACCAUAUGGAUCUAACACGCCUCAUCGAUCCCUCACUCGGAUCGAUAAUAAGCCCCUUUCUCGGACUCCCAUUACUCGGGUUUGAGGUAUGUCCGUAUCCACUUUUCUAGGUCCACCAGAAUUUGAACCUUGGGCUCUGAUACCAUGUUAAAUUUGGGCUAAUUCUGGGCUUCCAACUAAAAACCAAUUGGCAAUUAGUGGAUUGGCCCUAACCCUUUAUAUAUUAUUGGUUGUCCCAUCAAACUUCCGAUGUGAGACUUGGAUUGUAUCUCCAACACGUUUGUAGCCUUAUGGCAUUUGCGACGUGUUUUGAUUGCUUUUUGGUUUUAUAGGUAAGAAAUUGAUUAUGAAAAAGCUAAGUAAUUUGUCCGCGGAUGAGUGUUAAUGGUACCUCGCCCCCAGCCUACUGGCCUAGUGCAUAUCUACAUUAUUAUUUGAAGGAUAUAAACAUAAUAAUACUGUAUGAACAGAAAAAAAAUGAAUUAUGACUUAAGAUUUUCAUCUUUUGUUUUGUGACAUUUUGAAAGUUUCCGAGAAACAACAAUUGCUGCUUAAAUUGGUAAGACAUGAACAGAGGUUUACACACUAAAACAAAGCUAAAAUCUUUAAGGCAAAAUGAAGCAGAGGAGUUUCUUAUCAAUCCUCUGUUUUGUCCUUCUAACCUUUGGUGUUGCUUCUGUUUCAGCACAAACAUGCAUACAGAACCGUAAAUAUUUCAUACCCAACGGUACAUACGAUUCAAAUCGUCUUCUUCUCCUCUCUACUCUUCCUAACAAUACCGCGUCUCAAGAUGGUUUCUACUACGGUUCUAUUGGAGAAGAGCAGGAUCGAGUCUACGCAUUAGGGAUGUGCAUCCCAAGAUCAACUCCAAGUGACUGUUCUAAUUGUAUCAAGGGCGCGGCAGGCUGGUUGAUACAGGAUUGUGUCAACCAGACAGACGCGUAUUAUUGGGCACUUGAUCCAACGCUUUGCCUUGUCCGCUACUCCAACAUUUCUUUCUCAGGAUCUGCAGCUUUUUGGGAAACUACACCGCAGUAUUUGGUCUUGAACACUGCAACUAUCGCCUCAGAUCUAACAGAGUUCAAGACAAUAUGGGAAGACUUAACAUCUCGUAUGAUUACUGCAGCCUCCGCAGCAAGAAGAACACCAUCAUCCAGUGACAACCAUUACAGAGUUGAUUUUGCGAACUUGACAAAAUUCCAGAAUAUAUAUGCAUUAAUGCAAUGCACGCCAGAUAUUUCUUCUGACGAAUGUAACAGCUGUCUCCAACAAGGCGUACUUGAGUACCAGUCAUGCUGUGGAAAUAAUACAGGAGGCUAUGUUAUGCGGCCAAUCUGCUUUUUUCGGUGGCAGCUUUUUACAUUCUCUAAGGCUUUUGAUAACAUUACCCUGGCUACUCCUCCUUCUCCUCCUCUUUCUCCUCCUCCACUGCAACGUCCUGUGGUUGCGUCACAACCACCUUCUGCCAAGGACCGGCCCAAGACUACAGACAAUAGUAAGUCCAUGCAAAGUUAUGACUUGUUCAAAGAUUCUGCAGGGAGAGGAAAUAUCUCAAUGAAAACUAUUGUAGCAAUUGUUGUGGUUGUUUUAGUCAUUGUCAUCAUCUUGGCACUUCUCGCUUGCCGGUUUGCUCGGAAAGGAAAACCAUAUCAAGAAGUUGAACUUAAUCAAAGUGAGUGUUGUUCAUUUGAUUUUAUUUGGCCUUUUAGCAAAUAUAUAGUAUAUAGAACUAUAACUAAGACAAUUUAUUACACUGUAGCUGGUAUUACAACUGUACGGUCCCUGCAAUAUAAAUUUAAGACGAUCAAAUCUGCAACAAAGAAAUUUUCAGACAAAAUCGGCCAAGGUGGAUUUGGAAGUGUUUUCAAGGUAUCAUUUCUUUAGCCACGAACUAAGUUCAUGACUUCUCUUGAAAAAAAAAAGGAAUUACAGAGUCAAAGUAAUCUAAAAAUUGAACUUACAGAGCCAUGUUGACGCAUUGAUGUUAUUUGUAGGGUAUGUUGCCUGAUGGAAAAGAAAUUGCAGUGAAGAGGUUGUCAAAAUCAUCAGAACAAGGUGAGAAAGAGUUCAAGAACGAGGUUGUUGUUGUCGCCAAACUUCAGCAUAGAAAUCUUGUUAGACUUCUCGGUUUUUCUGUCAAAGGAGAAGAAAAGAUACUAGUGUACGAGUUUGUGCCCAACAAAAGUCUUGAUUGUUUCCUUUCUGGUAAGCUUACAUUUUCUAAAACCUUUGUUCUUAAUCUUAUAGUCUAAUGGGUCUAUAUGAAAUUUGCAGACCCUAUAAAGCAAAGAGAGUUAGACUGGACAAAGCGGUAUAUGAUCAUUGGAGGAAUUGCUAAAGGGAUUCAAUAUCUUCAUCAUGGUUCACGGAUCAAAAUCAUACAUCGUGACCUCAAAGCAGAAAACAUACUCUUGGAUGGUGAUAUGAACCCGAAGAUUUCUGAUUUUGGAAUGGCAAGGAUCUUUGGGAUGGAUCAAACUAGAGCUAACACAAGAAGGAUUGUUGGAACUGAGUAAAAUGCUUUUAUUACCCUUGAUAGCUUAUGAACUGAAGUUUCAAGAAUCUUUUCUUCACCAAUGUUACAAUUAAUCUUGCAGAGGUUAUAUGCCCCCAGAGUAUAGGAUCGACGGGCAAUUCUCAAUGAAAUCUGAUGUGUAUAGCUAUGGAGUCUUAGUUCUUGAGAUUAUAUGCGGCAAGAAGAACAGGAACUUCUGCCCUCCGGCUCCAAAUUUGGUCACAUACGUGAGUACCAAGAAAAAAUCAAAUCUUAGAGUAUGAUCCUAUCUAGUUGUUGGUUGAUGAUUAAUUUAUGUUACAGGCUUGGAGGUUAUGGAGAGACGGGGCACCAUUAGAACUCGUGGAUCCAAUCAUUUCAGAGAAUUGUCCAACCGAAGAAGUGAUAAGAUGCAUCCACAUUGCGCUCUUAUGUGUUCAAGAAAAUCCUACAGAUCGUCCCGACAUUUCGAUAAUCAUGUCGAUGCUCACUAGCAAUUCCGUCAUCUUACCUGUUCCUGAACCACCUGGAUUCUUCAUUUCAAAUACACAAUACCAAUCUACGAGGAGGUCCAAUUCCCAAACUAUCAAUGAUGAAACUUGAUCCUCGCUGAAGAUGAUGUUCCAUUGAAACAUUGAAACUGUUGUAAGUAAACUAUAUUUUCUGGUAUUUCAGUUUGAACUGUAAUGAAUUAUUCAAAAGUUAUGUAUGUGUAAAUUGUGAGAUACUCAUCAAAGUAGUUAUGUACACUUUUAGCAUUUUCUAUUUUUUACAUUCUUAUACCAGCUCUUUGUUAUAAAAUCCUUGUAUGAAUUUUAUCAAUUUACUUACUUAACCGGUCCUCUCUAGCCGGGGCUCACUCAAUUUGAUGCUUAUCUUGGUUAUAAAAUCCGUAGAUAGUUGCUCAAACAUUGCCUUCAAUCACUUUGAUGCUCACUAGUAACACAAUUACUCUACCAAUGCCUCAAAAACCAGAGACCUGAUCAAGACUUUGUAGCCUGUCCUACUCUGUUAUACUCUGUUCUUAAUUAACUCAAGUUUUAGAACAAAAAAAAUUGUUUCAAAAAGAUUUUCUAAAACUUGAAUUAUAAAAUAAAAUAUUAAAAUCCUCUAAACUGUUUUUUUUUUUUUUUUUUUUACCUGUAUCAAUAUACCAAUCCAAACCGGUUUAUUUAGUUAACCGGUCGUCGACGUCUUCUUCAGCCGGGGCUGGAACGCGUUUUGGGAAUUUUUUCAUUAAGGGUUUCGCUUUCAGAUUUAGUGGCGAUCUAAAGUUGAUGGCUUUUCGAUUCCAACUAUAUUUAUGGGAAUUAGGGUUUCAUCUGUUAGUUAUAUGCUUGCAAUUGACGAUUUGUUGCUGAUUACUCUGUUUCAUCGAAUCAAAAUUCUCCAACUUUCCUUUUUUCGGAAUCAUGUUCUUCUUGUCUUGUUCUUGUCUGAUAUCGUCUAAAUAUUCUUUACAUGAAUUAUUUAUUCAAAGACUUUUCGACGAUAAUGCCAGUGGCAAUCGUUUAGUAGUUAAUGUAAUAGACAGGACCAGUGAUGGGUCAAUAUCAUUCCUUUCGGUCCCAUUGCAAUUUGCAGAUUAAUGUCAAUAAUGCUACUAAUGUGCAAUCCUCUCUGUCAAAAAUUGGAACUUUAUGAGUGAAGUCAUUAUAAAGUGACAAUGGACUCACAUGUAUGCAGACAGAUCCUCCAAAUCUUCGAAAAUGAAACAGAUGAGUCUCUUGUGGUUUGUUCUUGUUAGCUUUAGUGUUGCUUCUGCACAACCAUGCGUGAACAACGGGUUUUUUAGACCCAAUAGUACAUAUGACAUUAACCGUGCUCUCGUCCUCUCUACUCUUGCUUCAAAUGUCAGGGCUCGUAACGGUUUCUAUAAUGCAUCGAUUGGCCAAGAACUUGAUCGAGUGUAUGGAGUGGGGAUGUGUAUCCCUGGCGCUGAACCAGAGCUGUGCUUAGAUUGUAUCGAGAAGGCGUCUGACGGGUUAUUACAGAGCUGUCCUAACCAAACAGAAGCCUUUACAUGGUCUGGUGGAGGUAAAACUCUUUGUAUGGUACGUUACUCCAACCGUUCAUUAUCUGGAUCACUUGAUAUGGACCCUCCUUCAAAAGGGUACAAUGAUGGGGAUAUCAAAUCUAAUGUAACAGAGUUUAAUAGAAUUUGGGAAGAGUUAACGCUUAGAAUGAUAGUCGAGGCUUCUACAGGCAAGGAUGCAUCAAUAUUGUCUAAUCAUAAGUACUAUGCAGCCGACAUAGCAGCGUUGACAGCUUUCCAGAAUAUAUACGCAUUAAUGCAAUGCACACCGGAUUUAUCUUCGACAAACUGUAAAACCUGUCUGUUGAAAAGUGUUGGUGACUAUCAAACCUGCUGCCAUGGGAAGCAAGGUGGAUAUGUAUUUAGGCCAAGCUGUAUUUUCCGGUGGGAUCUGUAUCCCUUUAACGGGGCUUUUGAUCAUAUUACAUCGACAGCGCCACCAUCAUCUCGUCCAGCACCUCCGCCUCAAGUGCCAGCUUCUAUGGAACUUACUAAAACCCAUAAAGGUAAAUACUUCAAUACCAAACUUUGAUUGCAAGAAACUGUCAGAACAUAAAGUUUGUCUAGUGUACUAAAAGUUGGCCCCAAGAUUUGAAGAUGAGACGGUUUCAGAACAAUAUGCUUUUUUGUUUUUCUCAGCGUGUAAAUUGUCUUCUAUGUUUGGCUUCCACAGAUAAUAAAACAAUCUCAAAAGGAGUCGUCAUGGCAAUUGUUGUUCCGGCUGUAAUUACCUUCUUGGUAUUGGCUGCUCUAGGAUUUGCUGUUUGCGGGAGGAGGAAGUCAUACCAAUCACUUGAUCGUCAGAGUGAGUUGUUUCACACGUUUUUCAUCAUUUACUUUAUCCUUUUUUCCAGAUAUAUAUGGUCUGCGUUUGCAGAUUCUUGGUGGAUUUUAAAGUGAAAAGACCUAUACGUUCCUGUAUGCAGCUGGCAUUGAUAUUACAACUACACAUUCACUGCAAUUUGAUUUGAAGACAAUCGAAGCUGCAACAGAUAAGUUUUCAGAGAGGAACAAGAUUGGUCAGGGUGGAUUUGGAGAAGUUUUCAAGGUAUAUUUUCUUAGACUUUCUGCUUUCUUUAAUCUCCUAGAGAGUUUGGAUAACACAUCCAAGUGAAGUUAUAUUCUUUGUAGGGUGUGCUUCCAGACGGGACAGAAGUUGCUGUGAAAAGGCUGUCAAAAACAUCGAGUCAAGGCGCACGAGAGUUCAAGAACGAGGCUGUUCUGGUGGCAAAGCUUCAGCACAGAAACCUGGUUAGGCUGCUUGGUUUUUGUUUGGAAGGAGAAGAGAAGAUACUUGUCUACGAGUUUGUACCUAACAAAAGCCUCGACUACUUCCUGUUUGGUGAGUCCAAUUUAAUACAUAUAUUGGGAGAAUCAUAAUGAUCCCUCAUAAUUAACUUGUGUUUCAAAUGAUUUUAUAUUUACAUACAGAUCUUUCAAAACAAGGCCAGUUGGACUGGAAAACACGUUACAAUAUCAUUGGCGGGAUUGCUCGUGGAAUUCUCUAUCUUCAUCAAGAUUCACGACUCACAAUCAUACACCGCGACCUCAAAGCGAGUAACAUUCUCUUAGAUGCUGAUAUGAACCCAAAAAUUGCUGACUUUGGAAUUGCAAGGCUUUUUGAGAUGGACCAAACUCAAGCUGAAACGAGCAGGAUAGUUGGAACCUAGUAAAAAAAUUUCCCUUGUCUGCAUUUAUAACUGAAGUUUGAAUUGCAAUAAUUUUAGGAUGGACAAUACUCUUGUUGUGGGUGAAGUUAUGUUUUUUUUUUUUUUUCUUGUUCUGCCAGUGGUUAUAUGCCUCCAGAGUAUGCAAUGAAAGGUCAUUUCUCUGUGAAGUCUGAUGUCUACAGCUUUGGAGUCUUAGUUCUUGAGAUUAUAGCCGGCAAGAAGAACAAUGGCUUGGACCAGGACGGCAAUGCUAGAAACUUGGUCACAUAUGUGAUUACCGAAAACCAAAUUUCAAAAUUUCUAACUUACUGUGAGGAUUGUGAGCGGUAAUGGAUUUUGGUUAUUAUGUUAGGUCUGGAGGCUUUGGAGAGAGGGUUCACCAUCAGAGCUCGUGGAUCAGUCGGUUGGAGAGAAUUAUGACAGCAACGAAGUUACAAGAUGCAUCCAUACCGCGCUGUUGUGUGUUCAAGAAGAUCCUGCAGAUCGUCCUACCUUGCCUUCAAUUAUCUUGAUGCUCAGUAGUAACACGAUUACUCUACCAGUGCCUCGACAACCUGGAUUUUACUUCCAGAGUAGACGUGAUGAUUUUGAGGGAUUAGAACCAAGUCAAUCUACAGGAAGAUCGAUUCCUUAUUCUGUGUCGAUAACUGAUUUAGAUCCUCGUUGAAGAUGGAAGCAUUCUCUGUGUGUAAGUUUUGAGUGAUGCUUCUACAGUAAUAUCUUAUUUUGUGUGAGACUUGAAUAUUCAUGUGAGUUGUGUGAGAACUUCUGUUUAUACUGUAUCUACCUAUUUGAUGUGACUUGAAUAUGCAUCUUAAGUUCUGUUUUACUACACUUUUGCUGAAAUCAGACGGUUAGUUUAAUAUCUACCUGUGUUAAAUAAACCGUAAACCAAAGGUACGUAUUAACUGAUGAUCUUACCCUCGCUCUGAAUCAGCGUUUUGGCGCAUUCUCUUUUUUUUUUUUUUCUUGUUCUAACUUGUUUACUACGCCUAGACUAAACAGAAUUUGCACACUGCAAAAGACUUUGCCUUUUGACUCUCCUUUGACUACCGUAUAAGCAGGUUUAAGAACCAUUUUUAUCAGUUUGACGAAUUCAACAUUAGGAUAUAUCAGAGAAGCUAUAAAUGCUGUUUAAAUAACCAAUACAAAACUAUAAUCUUUAGAGAACAACGAAGCAGAGCUGCAGAGGAGGACUUUGUUUUCAAUCCUCUGUUUUAUCCUCAUAAGUUUUGGUGUUGCUUCAGUUUUAACACAAAACAUGCAUGAACAUUAGUACUCUCAGACUCAACGGUCAUAAAUAUUUAUGACGCAGAUCGCCGGAUCAUUGAGCAGAUUGCAAAUAAACUUAAGAAUAGUUUUAACUUAAUAAACUAUGAAUGCACAAAUUUUUAUGUCAACAAUUCAUUGCAACAUGAUUGAAGUUGAAGCUGCAACAAACAGAUUUCAAGGUGAAGGUGGAUUCGGCGAGGUUUACUAGAAAAUUAACUAAGUUUCUAUUUAUAGGUUAUGAAUAUACAUGUAAAACUCGGUAAAUUAGACGGAUUCGGUUUGCAUUUACCGGUAUACGAAUGUUUGUUUACCCAAACCGGUUGAUUUACUAAACCGAUACCAUAUGAACCGGAUUACCGACCGAAAAAAAGUAACUAAGCUCAUCGCCUUUGUGCAUUCCCCUGAGCUCGGGAUUCAGAGUUUAGCAUUCAGGUUUUAAUGGCGUUUUAUGAUAUUGGUUUUCGGAUUUGUUUGUGCUCUUCUGUUGUUAGAUUUUCGAUGUGUUUAAUGGCAUAAUCACGAUAUGGCUGUGCUCGGAUUUAGGGUUUAACUGUGUUUUCCGUCUCCGAGGCUUUUAGUCGGUAUCAUGUUGGCACUUCCGGCUCAAUCCCCAUUGAUUAUCACACCUCCGGCAAGCAACAAUACCAUUACAAAGAAAAACAAAGGUCAGUCUUCCAAUUGCAAAACUAUAAUAAUUACUUGUCUACAGUAUCUAAAGAAGGCUUUUAACAAACAGUGAAUGAACUAUGUAUCUUGUGCAACAUUCUGAAAAUCGAUUUUUGAGGGGAUCUUGAAAAGAAUUGGUUGAUUUACACAAUCCGAUGGCUGUCUUGAAAAGAAGCAUAUCAGAUAAAGCUGAGCUGGGGAUGGCAGGGAAUAUAUUGAAUUCUAUUUGGAAUCAAUUGUUGCUGUUGUUGCUCACACUAGUGGCUCUUUGCUACUCUGUUUCAGCCAAUUACAACAUGUUCUUCUGGGUUCGGCGUGAUUCAUAUGUACGCACGCAUUCUUACAUGAAUCAACCCAAGAGACACUGAUUAGGCUAUCAAUUGGGCAAACAGGUCUAAGCUAGAACAACAAAAAGCCGGUUUAUUUGUGACACUGACACUUUAGCCCCAAUACUUUUCUGGUUCGAUGAAUACUCUUUCCUUAUGUCAUUUUCUGAGUCAACAUUCCAAUAUUCAACAACCCUUGUUAUAUAUUACGUGAACAAAGAAACUAUUAUUGACUUUUAACUUUGACUUUUGACACGUAUUUGUGACCAUAUUUGUAGGUUUAAGGACCACUGUCAUCAAUUUGACGAAUUCAAUUUUGGAGAGAAGCUUCGAUUUUGCUUGUUUAAACUGGUAAGAAACGUACAUAUGCGUCAAACACUAAACACAGAGAUUUUUCUUUUGCUAUAAUCUUGAAGAAACAAUGAAUCAGAGGAGGACUUUGUUUUCAAUCCUCUGUUUUUUCCUCAUAAGCUUCGGUGUUGCUUCAGUUUCAGCACAAACAUGCACGACGGACAAGGGGACUUUCAGACCCAACAGUACUUACGACGUAAAUCGCCGUCUCAUCCUUUCUUCUCUUCCUUCAAAUGUCACGGAUCAAGACGGCUUAUACUACAACGGUUCCAUAGGACAAGAACCGAACCGUGUCUACGCAGUUGGGAUGUGCAUCCCGGGAUCAACUUCAGAUGACUGUUCUGAUUGUAUCAAGAAAGCGUCUGAUGAAUUUUUAAAUAAUUGUCCUAACCAAACAGAAGCGUAUUCAUGGCCAGGUGAGCCAACGCUUUGCUAUGUGCGGUACUCCAACACUUCUUUCUCAGGAUCUGCAGAUCUGGACCCGCGCGUACUGCUCUUCAACACUGGAGUUAUACGCUCAAAUCUAACAGAGUUCACGGCAAUUUGGGAAGGACUAAUGGGUCGUAUGAUUGCUACAGCCUCCACAGCAAAAAGCACACCAUCGUCUAGUAAUAACCAUUACUCAGCUGAAGUUGCAGCCUUGACAACUUUCGAGGAUAUGUACGCAUUGAUGCAAUGCACGCCAGAUCUUUCUAUUCGUGAUUGUGAAAAUUGUCUGCAGCGAAGCGCAGGUGACUACCAGUCAUGCUGUAGUCAAAAUCGAGGAGGUGUUGUUAUGAGACCAAGCUGCUUUUUGCGCUGGGAUUUGUAUACAUAUUCUAACGCUUUUGAUAAUAUUACGGUAGCUUCUCCACCUCCGGAACCUCCUGUGACUGUGCCACAAGGCCCCCAACCUGCAGGUGAUCAAGCCAACACGACCGACAAUGGUUAGUCUUCCAACUGGAAAAAAAAACUAUGAUUGUAAGUAGAAUUGAAAUAUAUGACAUUGUUUUCUUGUUUUAUGAGAAGAUAGCAAAGGAAUCUCAGCUGGAGUUGUUGUGGCGAUUAUCGUUCCCACUGUUAUUGUCAUCUUGAUACUGCUGGUUUUAGGAUUUGUUCUUUUCCGAAGAAGAAAAUCCUACCAAAGAACUGAGAUUGAAUGUUAGUUUCUUUGUGUUUUACCUCUUUAUUCUUUCCUUUUGUUAUCAGCAUGUAUACUCCCGUAGCCAAGAGGGGAAACAUGAAACUAAUACACCCAUUCUUUGCAGCUGAAAGUGAUAUUUCAACUACCGAUUCAUUGGUAUACGAUUUUAAGACAAUUGAAGCUGCAACUAACAAGUUUUCAACAAGUAAUAAGCUUGGUGAAGGUGGAUUCGGUGCGGUUUACAUGGUAAGAAAGUCUCUGUUUCCCAUUUUUUUAAAGUUCAUAUUGGUUAUGAAAAUAACCAACGAUGUUUGUUUCAUUCAAUCGUACGUAGGGUAAGCUUUCUAACGGAACUGAAGUAGCUGUGAAGCGACUGUCGAAAAAGUCAGGACAAGGCACAAGGGAGUUCAGGAACGAGGCUGUUCUUGUGUCAAAACUUCAACAUAGGAAUCUGGUUAGACUUCUUGGAUUCUGUUUGGAAAGAGAGGAACAGAUUCUGAUCUAUGAAUUUGUCCACAACAAAAGCCUUGACUACUUUCUAUUCGGUAUGGUUCCCGUCAAUAGUUUUUCUUAUUCAAAGGAUCCUUCUUCAGCUUUAUACUGAUUGAUUGUCGAUAUGUGCAGACCCGGAAAAGCAAAGUCAGCUAGACUGGACCCGGCGAUACAAGAUCAUUGGAGGAAUUGCUCGAGGGAUUCUAUAUCUUCAUCAAGAUUCACGGCUCAAAAUCAUACAUCGUGACCUCAAAGCCAGCAACAUUCUCUUAGAUGCGGAUAUGAACCCGAAAAUUGCAGAUUUUGGAUUGGCAACUAUUUUUGGAAUGGACCAAACUCAAGGAAACACCAACAGAAUUGCUGGAACCUAGUAAGUUCUGCUCAUAGUAGCUGAAAAAUAAGCAAAGUUCACUGAACCUUCUGCUAUUGCAUAUUAACGAGUUGAAUGUUUUUCAGCGCUUACAUGUCUCCUGAGUAUGCGAUGCAUGGUCAAUAUUCCAUGAAAUCUGACAUUUACAGCUUUGGAGUGUUAGUUCUUGAGAUUAUAAGCGGCAAGAAAAACAGCGGCGUCUACCAGAUGGAUGAAACUAGUACUGCAGGAAACUUGGUCACUUAUGUGAGCAUAAAGACCUCAAAUUUCAACAAUUUAACAUUUCAAAACAUAUGACCAAGGUUCUUAAUUGUUCAUUGUAUUAGGCUUCAAGGCUUUGGAUGAACAAGUCACCAUUAGAGCUGGUGGAUCCAACCUUUGGAAGGAAUUAUCAAAGUAAUGAAGUCACUAGAUGCAUCCAUAUCGCGCUCUUAUGUGUUCAAGAAAAUCCAGAAGACCGUCCAAUGUUAUCAACAAUCAUCUUAAUGCUCACUAGCAACACAAUCACUCUACCUGUGCCUCGCCUACCGGGAUUUUUCCCACGAAGCAGGCAACUGGAACUGGUAUCCGAGGGACCAGAGUCUGAUCAGUCUACAAGCAAAUCUUUUCCUCUUUUAGUUCGUAAAAAGUGAUGUGGUUGAAACACAUAACAAUGGUCAGAUGACGUUUGAUAUUUUUUAUUUACGGACAUAAGAAACAUAGUAAGUUUAUCUGUAAUUGUAUGUUGUACACUGUAAAAUGCUUAUGGCCAGUUCUGUAAUAAUCGUUUCUUUUUUACUGGUUUACUCUCUUCAAGCAAUCAAAUUCUCUGCGUGAUUGUUGUGAAAGCUUAAUUUGGAGGUUGUAAUUAUCUUAUACUUGCUUGUGGUUACAAUUACAAUACAAACGUUCUGCUACAAAAGAAGUUUUUAACUUAUUUUCAAUACCAAUAGAUUCAGGAAUCAGGUAUGAAGGUACUCAUCUUCAUCGAGGAUAUACAUCUGUGAUGGAUGCAUCGUCAACAGACCCUAGAAGAGAUUUGCUCGUUGUAUCUGUAUCAAGCGGGUCUUUUCCAAUUCUACUCUGAAAGAAAAGACCUGGUUGCCGUGGCACGGGUAAAGUCACAGUAUUACUAGUGAGCAUCAGAACAAUGGUUGACAACGUCGGACGCUCAGCAGGAUCUUCUUGAACACAUAAAAGACCGAUAUGGACACAUCGAACAACUUCACUCCUUUGGCAAUUAUCUACAAUAGCUGGAUCCACGAGUUCUAAUGGUCUUCCGUUACUCCAAAGCCCCCAAGCCUAGAAUAUUAUUCAAUCAAUCAAUCAAUCCAACACUUGCAACUAUGUUCAGGUAAACAUGGAACUUGAUUGGCACAAAACUUACAUAUGAGACCAAGUCAUGUGCACCGUCUGUUUGGUAGAAGCUGCUAUUCUUCUUGCCACUUAUAAUCUCAAGAACUAACACUCCGAAGCUAUAGACAUCAGAUUUCAUUGAGUACUGACCAUGCAUUGCAUACUCGGGAGACAUGUAACCACUGUAACCCACAACAAAAACUAUGUUAAUAAAAGAAUGUUCAGAAAAUUUCAACUUAUGAGGAAGACUUACUAGGUACCAACUAUUCUGCUUGUGUUCUCUUGGGUUUGGUCCAAUCCAAAGAUCCUAGCCAUUCCAAAAUCUGCAAUUUUAGGAUUCAUAUCCGCAUCCAAGAGAAUGUUACUGGCUUUGAGGUCCCGGUGUAUGAUUGUGAGUCGUGAAUCUUGAUGAAGAUACAAAAUCCCUCGAGCAACUCCACCAAUAAUCUUGUAUCGCCGAGUCCAAUCCAACUGACUCUGCUUUGCAGGGUCUGUACACAUCCAUAAAUCACAGUUAGCUCUAAAGACUUGUAAUCCCUAGUUUCAAGAUUGGUUAAAGAAUCAUUGAAACAAAGCAUUAAAUGCAACUAACCAAAGAGGAAGUAAUCCAGACUUUUGUUGGGUACAUACUCGUAGACUAAUACCCUUUCUUCUCCGUCUAGACAAAACCCGAGAAGUCUAACCAGAUUUCUAUGCUGUAGCUUUGCAACAAGAACAACCUCGUUCUUGAACUCUGCUUCACCUUGUCCUGAUAACUUUGAUAGUCUCUUCACCGCAACUUCAGUCCCAUCCGAUAAAGUACCCUGUUGUUUUCAUCAGCAUUAUCCCAUUAUACAUAUGUGUUCACACAAAGUUUCAAGAAGAAAAAAAACACAGCUCAAGGGAACUGUAAUUACCUUGUAAACCUCACCAAAUCCACCUUGACCAAUCUUAUUACUCUCUGCAAAAUCAUCUGUUGCAGUUUGAAUUUUUCUAUAAUCAAGCUGCAGUGAGUCUGCAGUUGUAAUAUCAUCUCCUGUUGCACAAUGAAAGUCUUAGAAGCAGGAAAAAGAAGCUGAGCUUUGACAUUAAUCAAAAUUCAAACCCAAAUAAAGAUCGUUCAUCACUUGAAAUCUUUACCAUCAAAUGCAGAUGUUGUGUCAUAAGUCUUCUUUGCCCUUUUUGCAAUGAAACAAUAACCAACGAUGAAAAGCAGAACAGCCACUAUAAUAGGCACAACAAUGGCUAUCACUAAUACAGUUGAAUUCCCACCUUUCCCUGCUUUCCAAAGAUCAUUUGCUUAAGAUCAGACAAUGACAAACGAAUAGCAAAUCCAAAUUAAGUCAAAAGAAGCAAAGUUGCCUUAUUAGUAUUGCUCAUAUCAAGAAAUCAGGGCAGAAAAACAGAGGAAGAGAUUAGAUCAUGUAAGACACAUAGCAGCAAGUUAGCAACGCGAAAUUCUGUCGAAAGAAUGAAUAUUUUUAUAUAUUUUUGUCAAUUUCGUUGAAUUACGGCAAAAGCUAACAGAGGAAAUGGACAGAGCACUGACCAGGUCGAGGAGGAGCAGACACCGGAGGAGUAGAAACCGGCGGUGGAGGUGGUGGUGAAGGUGUAGUAAUGGCGGAUUCGUUGUAAAACGCGUAAAGCUCGAAUCUUGAACUACAGCUCUGCAUCAUAAAUCUUCCCCCAAUUUUAUCAGUGGGCAAUUGAUUGAUGCUCUGUUGAAGACAACUCAAACAGUCUUGUCUCGUCAGAUCAGGAGUGCACUGAACCAGUCCGUACAAUUUCUGCAACGCAGUGAAGUUGGCUUUUCUGGCAUCAAAUUUUCUGGAAUUGCUGGCAGCUUCAGCGGCGGCUUGGUUCAUCGUGGUCCCGACCAAAUCUCUGAAUUGGUCUAGUUGGUUAGAUGUAACAUUCUGGGGGUUCCACAUAAACACUCCUCCACCGGUGCUUAGGGUUGAGAGUAUGUUCCCGUUAGAGUAUCUGAGCAUACACUGGUCGUAGUAGAUUGUGACCUCUUUCUCAUUCGAACACCGACUUAAGGUGUCGUUUACAGCAAAGGUGACGCAGCGACGACAAACUUCCGGCGAUAAGUCUCCACGGCAGAGGAAAAGCCCGGUGACUCUGUCGGGAGCUUGCCCUGCGGUGGCGUUUUGGAAACUGGUGGAGUAUGAAGCGUUACUGGAAGAGAGAGAAGCCAAAACGGUUCUGAGAUUGGUUAAGUAAGUGCUGUUUCUUGAAUACGUUGUCGUGUUCGGACAGAUUUGGUAUAGGAAAGUGUGAUCUUGAUCUUGAGCAGAAACUUUGAAGCUAGUGAGGAAGGAGAAGAGGAAGAUGAAAGAUAUAAGAGAAGACAUAACUGGGCUUUCUUGAUUUGUGUUUCUCAUCAAGCUUUUGGGAAGGAAACUCGGUUAUAUGAAAUAAAAUUGAAUUUUUGUUCUCGCUGUGACUAGUGUCUAGCGUGAAACAGAGGAUGGUUUUGUGACGACGAAAAGUCAAGGUCAAAGUAAACGCGUCUUGUAUUGAAUUGUCCUGUCCUGCCCAAUUUGUCUUCAGCUAGCUACUAAUCCAUUACUAAUUUUUAAGAGAUAAUUAGCUCAGAGAUAAGGGAUCUGAGCUUAAAUUAGUUUUUGAUAAAAUCUUGUCGGGACCUAAAACAAUUGCAACAUUAGUCCAUUAUCUUUCCGUUUUUAGCCUCACUCGCUAAGAGAAAUGCAACAGUUUUUUUUGUUUCUUUCGAGACGAAUAUGCGUGUAUAUGUAUAUUUGUCAAGCAUUUGUUGUUCUAUUAUAGAUAUACAUAGAUCUACUUAGAUCCACAUCUCUACUUUAUAGAUCUGUAUUUUGAUGUGCAUCUUUUUUUGUAGAUAUCUAUUUAUUUUCUUUUAUUCCCACUUGAUGUUGAUACAUAACUUACUGUUUAAUUUUUUUACUGUUUAGAAAUAUGGCUGAUCUGGAGCUUUUUUCCCGAUUGUUUGCCGAUAGAGAGGACCUCCUGGCGAUAGGGUGAAUAUGUACUUCAAGCUCAAUACGAUCAAGGUUGUGUUGAAAGCUCUUACACCUAAAGAGAAUGAAACCAUUAGGCCUUACUUUGGAAAACUUCUUGAUGUCUACUCCAAACUUGUCUUCUCUGGCAAAUUGGCUCACUUUCUGUUAAUCCGAUAGCUUAAUGUUGUCAAGCGACAAAAUUCAAAAGUUUUUCCAUGUACUUGUUUUCAUUCCAUUGCUUUCACGAUUAAAUAGUAUCUAGUUUUUUUUUGUGUUUUUCUCGCUUCCCUCACUAAAUUUCGUCUCCAUAUCCACAAAUCUAUUUAGAUCCGCAAUUUUUUAAUUAUUCCUGAGUUUAGAUAUUCAACUUCCCCUGUAGAUCUAUAUUUAUUCAUGUAUAUUUUGUCAAACAUCUAUUGUUUGUUUUAGAUAUCCACAAAUCUAUUUAGAUCUGUAUCUAUUCAUUUAUAUUUACCAAGCAUAUGUUGUUUUAUUGUAGAUAUCCACAUAUCUACUUAGACACUCUGCAGGUUUGCAUUAAAUGGAAGUCGCCUCCUUCCUUCUGUCACCGCAGCAAAGACGACGCAGCUACGGCAAACUUCUGUCGAGAGAUCUCCACGGCAAUUAAAAAGUCCGGUGACUCUGUCUGGAGCUUGCCCGACGGUGGCGUUUUGGAAGCCGGUGGAGUAGGAAGCGUUGCGGGAAGAAAGAGAAGCCAAAAGGGUUCUGAGAUUGGUGUUGUAAAGGCUGUUACUCGAGUAAUUUGCCGUAUUUGAACAGAUGUGAUAUACGUAAGUGGGAUCUUGAGCAGAAACUCUGAAACUAGUGAGAAAGGAGAAGAGGAAAAGGAAGAAGAAAGAGGCGUAAUAAGACAUUACUGGGGUUUCUUGAUUUGUGUUUCUUCUUCUCAUCAAGCUUUGGGAAAAUUCUGAUAUAUGAAACAAAUUUGAUUUUUUGUUCUCUCUCGGUGACUAGUAGUGACUACUGUAGAUAGCGUGAAACAGAGGUUGGUUUUGCGACGACGAAAAGUCAAGGUCAAGGUAAACGCGUCUCGUAUUGAAUUGUCGGGUCCUGUUCCACUUGUGUUCAGUUACUAAAUGUCUAAAUCAUUACUAAUUUUUUAAUAUGUGAUAACAAAAAAAAAGGAAUUGGCAAAAAGAUUUGAUAAAUGGAAAAUUAAUUUGUAUAGCUAGAAGCCUGGAAGAAAUUAUAACAAAAUAAAAACCUAUUUCAAAAUUAAGAAAAUUGUCAAAACAGUCAAAUUUAAAACAUUUUAACUCUAAAUUUAAGCUUUAAACUCUGAAUUCUCAAUUUUCUUGAGUACUUUGUUGCAAAACUACAUUUUAUUGCAAAGAAAUAGACAAUCGGCAGUUGGGAUUUUCAGAACAAAAUAAAUGUAGCUGCUGGCAUGGUUUCAAAGAUCUUAAUUACUAGUAGUAGAAUUUAGAUAGGAUACAUGAGAGAAACUACUAGUAUAGAAUUUGUUUCGUAUACUCUUUCUUGAAUAGAGAAUUAUUGAAAUUAGGAAUCGUUGUUGACUAUUCUUCAAAAAAACAUUGUGGGGCUGAAAAUUUGUCGCCACUGAUGCUGGAAAGUUCUUAAUAUUCCACAUGACAUCAUAAUUCCAUUCUUGAUUCGUGUUUUCACCCAAACAUGAAUCUACAGCAUAUAAUUUUUUUUUUUACAUCAUACGAAUGUUAUUUGUUUAAAACGAAUUUUGCAUCCGUAAGGUCCAUCUAAUUGCAAAGGUGUUUUAAUUUCUAUGAGUUUAUAUGAAUUUGAAAUAUUUCCUUUUUGGCAUUCACAUAUACAUAAAGAAAAGGAAAAUAAAACAAGAAAUACAAAACAGAGAAGAAAAAUUUGAGAAAUCUCUUCUUUUUGGUAUUAUAUAGGUUCUCAUGUCCAAGCACAAAACGUUAAAGGCAGCGACGCUGCUCCGUAAGGCUGCAUGAUACGGGCUUAUGAGACCUCCGCCAUGACUUCUUCGUGAAGAAGACAAUUGGCUUUGUUAAUCUGUGACGUAUACUUCAGGGUUCUACAACCAUUAGAUCCUAUUAGAUCGGUUGCCCCUUUAUCAAGUAUUUUUCACUUUUUCCCUCGUUUAAACAAACACAAGAAACGUAUUCGCAUGAAACAUACGGAAGAAGAAUAAGAAACUAGGAUUUUAAUGGAACUAUUGGAAAGAAAGACUAAUCCUAACUUAAGAAGCCAAACAAUUAUUUACAUGCACGAAUAACCUAAUAUAUAAUGGAAGAAUUACGUUACGAAACCUAGAAAGAAUGUGAGGUAGACGAAAAAGGGGAGGAUAUGAGGAAGAUGAGAUGACCAAACCUAGAGGGUGUUGUGUAUAUAUAUAUACACAUGACUUAUGCGGUGUAUGUAGCCAAAACCCUAGCUAGUUCUUUUUAUUUUAUUUUAAUGAUUAUUCAAAACCCUAGUCUUUAAAAAGUACUAAUUCUUUUCCGUAACCGCCAAGGAAAAACAAUCGGCUUUUUUCAUGCAACAAAUCUCGUUAAAAUUGGUUAUGGGCCUGCCUAUGAGAAUGGAAGCCAGAAGAGGACUCGGUCAAUGCUUCGAGAAAAAAAAUGCUUCGAGAACAUUUGCGUGAUAUAUUGGGCCUUCUUUCCCAAAAGCCCAAUUUGCAUCAUGAUUCUUCAAUCCAUCGACACACAUAUCUUCUUCGUUCUCGUUAUUGUCGUGAGAGUGCUGCUCAUGUGCUGCAGACAAAUUGAGAAGGAGACACUUGGAAUUUGUAUCCACAAAAGCCACGUUCAUAUUUUUAUGUGAUAAUAGCAAUUUAGUUCUGUUAUUUUCAACACAAAAAUCCACCUCCUGCAUUCUCUUUGUACUAAAAGCUCCAUUGGUGAAGAAAAAAUCAACGUGAUCUACGACACAUAUGUCUUCAUCGUAGACGUCAUACACCGGAUCACCAAUAAUAUCCUUGUAAUUUCCAAACAAGUCUUCUCUUGACAUAAAUGAAUAUUCAUCGGUUUGAUAAAAACACCCGAACGACAUGGUAAACGAAGAACCGAUUCGGCUCUAAUACCAACUGACGUAGCGGAAGCUUUAAGGAUAGAUUACGAAAGUAAUCUUGAGUAUUAAUGGAUCUCAAGCAAGACAAUUGUAGCUCGGAAUUCUAGUGUUAUCGGAGAUCAAUGGAUUCACGAUAAACAAAGACUUCGUUUGAGAAUACUCCAAAUGAUGGAGCGGAAGCUUCUAGGGAUAGAACUAGAUCCGUUGAUUCUGAGAAUACCCGGAAACUAGGGUUUGAGAGUCCUCCUCUCAGAGUUUUCACAAAAGCUCUUAGAUUGUGAAUACUCUUCACAGUGUUUAUAAAAACCUCUUUAAAUCUUUCGAUUAAUCAAUUCAUCAAUAACUUAAUACAAUAGGAGACAUAAGAAGGCUAUUUAUAAUAAAACAUAAAAACCCUAAAACUUAGAAUAUUCUAGAAUAAUUAUAAUUAAUAAAUUAAAAGAUAAUAUAAAUAGAUAUUUAGAAAUAUUCCAAAUAUCUCGCUGCAUCAGGUCUCGUCGGCCAAGAAAAGAUUCGUCCUCGAAUCUUGUUUCUACGCUGCAUCAAAACUUCUUCAGUUGAUUGGAAAAAUCAGAGGCAAUUUAUCAAAGACAAGAGAAGCUAAACCUAAUUUUCAGACCAAAAAUAAAAUAAACGAAACUGAACCUAUUUUUUCAAAUUUUAAAGAACACGUCAAAAAAGAGCAAAACGAAUCAAGGUAUCCUAGAGCGCCAUUAGAACCAAAAUGCUAAAAUGAGUAAAUUAACCAAUUUAUAGAAAUUCGUUUUAUUUCGACAACAACAAAUGGUUUUUAAUGGUGGCAUGAAGAGAAGAUAGGAUUAAAUCCAAAACUUAUGACCAACUUUACAAACAACAAAAGAUAUCAACGGACAAAAUGUUACCCUUAAUUUGUAUUUAAAGGUUCCCAGUUUCCAAUCUUUAAACCAAAAUACACAUCUUAUUAAUAUAGGCCACAAAAAAUUUCAUACCAUUAUAUGUUUUUUUCUUCUAUUUACUGAGAGAAUAGAUUUGCUUUGGAGACAAUUUUUAGAUAUUUUAUUACUUCUUAUAGAAAUUUUGUUCGUUAUACAUAAUGUUACAAACUCUUUUUUAACAAAAAAAAAGUAUUGUCCACAAAUUAUAGGAAAUUGGAAAAAAAAAAAAAAAAAAAAAAAGAACGAAACAAUUUAUAGCUAGGAUCAUAUAGGAGACAAAAAUAUAGAUUAUCCUUGACUUAGUCAUUAGAGAUUAUCCUUGACUUAGUCAUUAGAGGAAAUGUAAUUCAACGUUGAUUUGGAUCGAAAGAAGCGUGAGAGACGACCAUAUAUAUGUCCACAAGUCUAUAGGUGGUUGGCAUUUUAUGGAGACCAAUAAACUUUAGAAUUGGCACUAUUGCAAGGGGCCGGGAAACAAGUUAAAAAGAAAAAACCUCUAACUUUUGUGAAUUUGCCAAACAAAUUCUAUUAGAUAAGUUAAAGAGAAAUUAAAGGAAUAUUAAGGUUUGUCUUUAGUUCAACUGCUUUCACUAAUUUUCAUUUUAUCUGAGUGCCCUGCAAAGAAGUGUAAGAUAUACUCUUGUUUAUAGCUUUAUUCACUAGAGAAUGAAGACAAAAGGGUUCAGAGAAUUAAUGGCGUAAUUGUUGAUUCUUCGACAGUAAGUUUGUUCUGCUGGAACAGAGUGAUUCUGAAAAUCUAAUACAGAGUUUGUAAAGAUAACAAGGUAAAGUACUUUUGUGCAAAAAAAAAAAAAAAAAAAAAAACAAGGUAAAGUACUAUAAUAGGAAGUCAACGACUAUAGAAGUCAACCUUCCACUGUGAGUGUUAAUUGGUUUUGAAGAAAUGAAGGGUUUUUUAGCAAAGUAGACACUUUUAGAAAAAUAAUUUGCAAAGUAGGUAGUUUUUUUAAAAAAUAGAGAAAUAGACACUUUUUUUACUUUUUGUGAGAUAUAACUUUUGUCUAAUAGACUAAAAGACAAAAUAGUUAUCAAAUACUAAAAUAUCCCUUAUCUUGAGAGAGAAUAAACAAAAUAUGAGGGACCACUUUUAUUUUGUUACUUUCUUCUUUAUCUAUUUGGUUCUUUUUUCUCCUUGAAUUAUUAUUUUUAAAGAGAAUUUUUUUUUAAUCACCUGAAUUAUAUAUUUUUUUGGCACUAUUCUCAUACACAAACAUUUAAAAAAUCGUUUUGUACACUAACACUUGUACACUAAAUCAUCUUGUACACCGAUAUUUCAUAAAUCAUCAAGUACACCGAUUUUCUUGUACUUAUAAAUUGAAGUAAUAAUUGUUUAGAAUAUUUGUACAAAUAUGGUGAUUGUAUAAACCGAAUGUUAUAUUUAAUAUGAUGGUGUACAUGAUGGUGUACACAAUUAAAUUACUUUUGAUGGUAUACAUAAUGAUAUAAACCAUUAUGAUGUACGAGAUUGGUGGAUGGAAUUGUGUACACAAGUUUUAAAUGACAGCAUACAAGACUGGUAGAUAAAGUGUACAAAACUUGGUGUACAGUACUUAUAGGGAAUGUAUAAACCAUUAUUUCAAUUUAAUGGUGUACGUCAUCUCGUACACUGAUGUUUGUACAAAAUAUGUGAAGGUGUACGAUGUUGUAGAGGGCACACAAGGUGGUGUAUGGUGCGACCCACUAUCUCAUCAUUUCAUGUACAUUAAUAAUAUUGUGUACACCGCACUUUACAUCAUCAUCGUACACCAUCGUAUUAUGUAGUUAUACACCAUUAUAGAUUAUCAUUUGUACACCAUCUUGUGCACUAUCAUACUCUGUAUACCACUUUCUAAACUCAGUAUCAUAUAUUACUUCUUAUAUUCUUGAUGUACACUACCGUUUGUACACCACCGUUUACAUUAUUACGUACACCGUCGGGUUAAGAUUAAAUAAUAAAAAAGUGUUACGUAUCCGCAAAUAUAGCAAAAUUAGACAUUUUAAAUUCACAUAAAUUUUUUAAAGAUUAAGAUGUUGUUGUAAUAAUUUAUUUUUAUUAAGAAUUUAUAGCAAAACAAAUUAAAAGUAUUUAAGUGAAAAUAAGAAAGAGAAAAAAGAAAAUCUUUGACUAUAAGUCAAUUUUGUCAUUAUCUAACAAAACAACAAAACAAGAAAAGGUUAUAUAAGUCAUUUACUAAAAUCUCUAUUACACAAAAAAGUUGUAUUAGAGAAGAAAGAGAAAAGUGUCUAUUAUUCUAAUUUCUAAAAAAACUACCUACUUUACAAAUUAUUUGUUAAAAAAGUGUCUACUUUACAUAAUUUCUCAGAAAUGAAGGCUAGAAUCUGAAUCAACUAGGGUUGUGAAAAUACUGUUUUAGCUUACAACUGUUUGUUUGUUACUUGUCUCGUACGGAAGUUUAAUGGUGUUGUCUUAUUGACCCAGAUUCUCCGCGCGUAGCAGAAUAAUCAUCAACCUAUUAAAUAUUUAACUCCAUUACGUUUAUCAUUCUGGGAAGUAGAAAGAUUUAUAAUUCGAUUUUCUCUGGUUAUCGCUUUCACAUGUUUUUAGUCUAACAUUUAAAUAACAAUAAAAGUUGAUGUUACUCGUAUAGUUGACUUUGACUUUCAUGAAAUUUGUAUUAGAACACAAAACUUUGACGUGGUGGAUGGUUUAACAUUUUCAUUCAUUGGUAUUAUUUAGUAGUUUAGUACGCAUGAACCAGUAAAGAUAACAAGAAAGAAAAAAAAAACAGAGGAGAAAGGAUAACAAAUUAAUUAGAUAAUGUCUGCUUAUACCUCAUUAAACUCUCUCUUCCUUCUCACAUUUUUCUUUGCAAGCUUGAGAGCUUCUGCACAUUUACAGGACCUGACUUACGUCGGCCAUAGUUGCAGUAAGACGACAUCAACAAACAUCACUUACUUCUCAAAUCUCCAAACUCUUUUGACCUCUCUUUCUUCUAACAGUGCUUACUUCUCCUUGGGAUCUCAUAGUCUUACAAAGGGUCAAAACGCCAGCAUGGUAUUCGGACUUUAUCUCUGCAGAGGAGAUCUCUCGCCGGAAGAUUGUGGUGAUUGUGUCGUAAAUGCUUCUAAAGACGUUCGAAGUAGAUGUCUACGAGGGAAAGAGUUCUUGAUUCAGUAUGAUGAGUGCAUGCUUGGAUACACGGACCGGAAUAUUUUCAUGGAUGCUGUAACCACAAGGUCCACUCCUACAAUAAUCACUUGGAACACUCAGAAUAUUAAGGCGGACUUGGACCGGUUUAACGAUACUGUGUUUUCUCUGAUUAACAAGUCUGCAGUGGAAGCUGCUAAUAGCAAAUCGAAGAAAUUCGCGGUUAUUAAAUCGAAUUUCACUUCGUCCCUGACGGUAUAUUCAUCGGUUCAGUGUAUUCCUGAUCUGUCUAGUGGAGAAUGCUUAAGCUGUCUCCAACAGUCCAUCAAUGAAAUUUUUUUCACCAAAGUCGGAGGAAGAGUUCUUGUCCCGAGUUGUAACUUAAGGUACGAGAUUUACCCUUUCUACGAUGAAACCUCUGUGAAAACUCUCUCUCCAUUGCCGCCGGUUUCAGCUCCUCAAUUGCCAAUAAAGAUUCCUCACCCGGUUUUAGCUCCUCCACUGCCGGCUGGUAAAGGUGCUCUCUCUCUCUCUCUCUCUCUCUCUCUCUUUUUCUUUCAUUUGCUUGAUUGGAGUGAAACAGACAACUAUACAAGAUUUGUCUGAUCUAAUACUUUGUCAGGAAAAAGAGGAAAUUCCACGAGGGUAAUCUUAGAAAUUUGUGUGCCGGCGGCUUUCUCUGUUCUUCUUUUUGUGGCUGUAUUUACCUUCCGUUUGACAAAGAGAGUGAAGAAGACUAAUGACACAGCAGUUGCAGAUGAAGGUAGAGAUUCCAAAAUACUCUUGUUGUUUACUACUUAAAUUUUUGGUUUAUGAAGUUUAAUGCUAAAAACAUUUGGUUUUUGCAGAUGGGGAUGAUAUUUCAACGGCAGGCUCUCUGCAGUUUUGUUUUAAGGUUGUUGAAGCUGCGACAAAUAAAUUUUCAAUAUGUAACAAACUCGGUCAAGGUGGAUUCGGACAAGUUUACAAGGUACUACCAGUUCAUUGAGCUUCCUAAUUACUUUCAUAAGAGAUUCAAACUCUGUUUAAUUCACAAUCUUUUUAGGGCACACUUCCUAAUGGAGUACAAGUUGCCGUGAAGAGACUAUCGAAAACAUCGGGACAAGGUGAAAAAGAGUUCAAGAACGAAGUUGUUGUUGUGGCAAAGCUUCAGCACAGAAAUCUGGUCAAGCUUCUUGGAUUUUGUUUAGAGAGAGAAGAGAAAAUACUUGUCUACGAGUUUGUGUCUAAUAAAAGCCUUGAUUACUUCUUGUUUGGUAAGUUAAAUCAAUGCUUAGCAAAAUAUAUUUUAUUGUUGACAUUCUAACUAUAUGGAUGUGCAGACUCUAAAAAGCAGAGCCAGCUGGAUUGGACUACACGGUAUAAGAUCAUAGGAGGAAUUUCUAGAGGAAUAUUGUAUCUCCAUCAAGAUUCACGACUCACAAUCAUACAUCGAGACCUCAAAGCGGGUAACAUCCUCUUGGAUGCUGAUAUGAACCCGAAAAUUGCAGAUUUUGGAAUGGCGAGAAUUUUUGAAAUGGACCAAACAGAAGCCAAUACGAGAAGAGUAGUUGGAACCUAGUAAGUUUUGUUCUUGACAACUAUUAAAUGUUAAAUCCAUUUGUUAACUCAAACUUUUAUGCAUCGUGGCAGUGGUUACAUGUCACCUGAGUAUGCCAUGUACGGCCAAUUCUCAAUGAAAUCUGAUGUCUAUAGCUUUGGAGUCUUAGUUCUUGAGAUUAUAAGCGGGAGGAAGAACAGCAGCCUUUAUCAGAUGGAUGCUUGUUUGGGAAACUUGGUUACAUAUGUGAGUAUAAACACUUCAAAUAUACUACUUUUUCGCUCUAUGAAACAGUCACAAGGAUUUUUUAAGUCUUAAAAUGUGCUAUAGACUUGGAGGCUAUGGACCAAUGAGACGCCAUUAGAGCUUGUGGAUUCGUCCUUUCGAACGAAUUAUCAAAGAAACGAAAUAAUUAGAUGCAUCCAUAUCGCCUUAUUAUGUGUUCAAGAAGAUACUGAAGAUCGUCCAACUAUGUCAAUGAUCGUUCAAAUGCUUACUACUAGCUCGAUUUCCCUAGCUGCACCUCGACCACCUGGUUUUUUCUUCCGAAGUAAGCAUGAAGAAGCAGGUCCAUCAACAAAUAAAUCCUCUCUCUGUUCCAUUGAUGAUGCAUCCAUUACCAUGCUAACUCCUCGUUAAAUAACUCGUUUCAUAAACUAAAAACUAUUGCAAUUCCAAAAUUUACAGUUUUUGCGUUCAUAUUAGAAUCUAUGAAAAUGCUACUAGCUUUGAGGUCACGGUGUAUGAUUAUAAGUUGAGGUUUAUCAUAAAGACGCUUCCUCGAGCAUUGGCUCCAAUGAUGAGAAUCAAUCUGUCCCCUCAUUUUGAAUGGUCUGCAUAUAAUUAAAUAAAAAUGUAUAAAUAAUAUACAACCAGUCCCAUCAAUGUCUCUUGGGUUGACUCUUGUGUAGAUUUUUGUUGAGUCAACCGCAGAUUGUAACAAUUUUAUCGCACGCUAUAAAGUCCCGUAGGGCAGAGAUUCACAAUUGGAACAAACAAAUACGAAAUGGUCCACAAGGAGAAAAAACUAAAGAAAAUCAGACGAAGUCAACAUCAAGAAAGCGAGAGCAACCACUAUCGUAGACGAAUUAAUUUUUUUUUUUUUUUUAGACGAAUUAAUUAAGUUUGUGAGGAAGAGAGUUGGUGUAGCUUGAGACACGUUUCAAUCCCUUUGCUUUCCUCUUAGUGUAUGUAUAGUCUUCAGAGUUUGACAAGCCUCUUCUGGCUAUGAAAAUCUUUAAGAAAGCCUUCUUUGUUCUAUGAUAUAAAGUAAAUUAUCAGCUAAUAAAUAAGGUAGAUUACCGUUAACCCUAAACCCUAAUUCUCAUUUAAGAUUUAAAGAAACCCAUGAUUGUUUAUAGCCUGACUUCCCAUAAAAAUGGAAAGCAAGAAAGAGAUGUGAGUCAAUUAUGAUUGUUAACCAUUUUUCUCUGUUCAGUUAUUACGUGCCCGAGAAGUUAGGGGAACAAUGCUCUUAUUUUCUUUUUCUUUUUGGUAAAGGAAAACCUCUUUUUUCUUAAAAGAAUGCUCUUAUAUAUUUUCUUCUGAUUACUCUCCAUGCAAAGCCUCCAAAGUCCAACAGAAUGAUCAUCAAUAUAUUUCUAAUUCGUUGAAUUUAUCAGAACUAGACGGUCUUUAUAUUAAGGGUUUUGUGAAAAAACAUCAUCCAACUCGUCAACUCGUCAAAAUAAUACGCAAUAUAACCGUAAACGUUUUCACGAUCACAUACAUUAGAUUUUUAAAAUUCUAAAGGUAGAGUUAAAAUCCUUGUCGUGAGUACUUUCGAUUUCACAUAUCAUUCGUCAAAAUUUCACAAACUUAGACGGUAGUGAAAAAGGGUUACAUUGAAUAUUAUUUGACGGUAGUGAAAAAGGGUUACAUUGAAUUUUAUUUUUGACUUUGUAUCAUUAAUUUACAUUUUUUGUAAGUGAAGGAUAAAAUUGCAAAAAUCGGCGAGUUGGAGGUUUGUUUUGCACAAAACCAUUAUAUUAUGUCCACAAAAUUAAUUAAAGGUAUUAAAUCACAAAAAAAAAAAAAAGUUAAUCAAUUAAAGGACUUGUAUACACCAAAGAGAAGAUAAUUUGGAUUGAAAUGAAGACUAGUAUAUACAACGUAACUGAAAUCGGAAUUUACUAUUUUUCCAAGUUCUUUAGGAUCGGAGCGUCUGAAAAUUUAAGAAUGCAUAAUCGAACCAAUAAUUAACGUAAACGUCAUGAGAUCCGAUUAUAAAGAAAAACUCACUAUUAAAUCAAUACAAAACAUUAAAUAGGAUUGGCCACAUUUAGAAAUAUGUUCUUUUUUUUUUGAUACCCUAUCGGUUGAUCCGGUCAGCUCCGGUAGAAACGCACCGAAGUGCUUUAGAGUGGACUUCUCCCCGAAGGGCCACCACACUGUCUGUACGGAGUUAAUUUGGAAUGCUUUCCGACUAAUGCCAAGGGGUAGCGAGAUCGCCUGUUACUGACUACCAGGUAAACUGCCUAGGCCUUUGGCCAAGCCCAGACUUCCCACACAAAUGUGUUUUUUGUUUGCAGGGUGGAUCGAACCUGGGUUAGUUCCUUCCAACAUAAGCUUAAACUUAAUUUCAAUUAUACAUUAAUACCAAUUGAUCUUUAAGCGUGAAGGUGAAUACCAUAUUCAACGAGGAGUCGAGGAUAUAAAUCACUUAUAGAUGUCUCGUCAAAAGAUACUGGAAAAGACUUGCUCGUUGUUGAUUUAUCUGAAUCAAGCGGGGUGUUUCCGGGUCUACUCUUCACGAAAAAACCCGGUUGCUGAGGCGCUGGUAAAGUCACAGUAUUAUUGGUGAGCAUCACGGAAAUCGUUGACAUGGCUGGAUGCUUUACAGGAUCUUCUUGAACACAUAAAACACCGAUAUGGAUGCAUCGAACCACUUCACUAUUCUGGCAGUUAUCUACAAUGAUUGGAUCCACUAGGUCUAAUGCUGUUCCGUUUCUCCAAAGCCUCCAAGCCUAGAAUAUCGUCAAUCAGUCAAACAAUUAUUGCAACUAUUGCUUUUUGUAGGAUGAGGAGAGGCAUAUAUAAAAAUCAUUUCCUUUAAACUUACAUGUGUCACCAAGUCUUGUGCGUCAUCUGUCUCGUUGAAGCUGUUAUUCUUCCUACCGCUUAUAAUCUCAAGAACUAACACUCCGAAACUAUAGACAUCAGAUUUCAUUGAGAACUGGCCACGCAUUGCAUAUUCAGGAGACAUGUAACCGCUGGAAUCCACAUCAAAACUUUACUAUGUUGUCAAAAUAAAAUGUUCAACAUGUGAGAACUGAGAAGUCAAGUGGAAGACUUACUAGGUACCAACUAUUCUGAGUGUGUUCUGCUGGGUUUGAUCCAUUUCAAAGAUCCUUGCCAUUCCAAAAUCUGCAAUUUUAGGAUUCAUAUCUGCAUCCAGGAGAAUGUUACUCACUUUGAGGUCACGGUGUAUGAUCGUUAGUCGUGAAUCUUGAUGAAGAUAUAGGAUCCCUCUAGCAAUCCCACCAAUGAUCUGGUAUCGCUGUGUCCAGUACAGCUGACUUUUCUUUGCAGGAUCUGUGCACAUACGUGAAUAGUAGCUCUAAAGAUUUGCAACCUCAUGUUUCAAGACUAGUUAACGAAACAAUGAAGAAAAUCAUCAAAUGCAACUGACCAAAUAGGAAGUUAUCAAGGCUUUUAUUUGCCACAUACUCAUAGACCAAUAUCCUUUCUUCUCCUUCUAUAGAAAAUCCGAGAAGCCUAACCAGAUUUUUGUGCCGAAGAUUUGCAACAACUGCAACCUCUGUCUUGAAUUCCGCGUCACCUUGUUCUGAUGUUUUCGAAAGUCUCUUCACUGCAACUUCGGUUCCAUUUGAAAAUGUACCCUAUCCAUUUUUAUUUAUCAUCAUUAUCUCGUUAUCCAAAUUUGUUGGAACAAAAAAAACAAUCGAUAACUUAUAUAGUAUAUAAUAUAUACCUUGUAAACAUCACCAAAUCCACCUCGACCAAUUUUAUUAUCCUCUGAAUAAUCAUUUGUUGCAGCUUGAAUUGCUCCAUAAUCAAGUUGCAGAGACUCUGAGGUUGUUUUAUCAUCUUCUCUUGCACAAUAAAUGUCUUAGUAAUCAGAAAGAAAAAUAAAGAAGAAGAUGAUAAUUAAUGACAUUAAUCAAACCUAACUAAGAUUGUUAAUCUUUACCAUCAAGAGCAGGUGCUGUGCCAUAAGUCUUCUUUGCCCUCUUUGCAAAGAAACAAUAACCAGCUAUGAAAAGCCGAACAACCACUAUAAUAGGCACAACAAUGGCUACCACUAACACUGUUGAAUUCCUACUUUUCCCUGUUUUCCGAAGAUCAUUUGCUUAAGAUAAGAAAAUAGUAGACGCUAACCGAGCUAAGAUCAAGUAAACAGGGCAAAAAACAGAGGAAGAAGAAAGUGUUCACCAGGUAGUGAAGGAGAUGUCAACGGAGGCGUAGACCCUGGAAACCGCAUCGGCGGUGGUGGUGGUGGUGGUGGUGUUCCAAUGGCGGUUUCGUUGUAGAACGCGUAAAGCUCAUACCUUGAAUUACAAAUUGGCCAAAACUAUCUUGCUCCAAUUUUAAAAAGUGAUAUUCUAUUGAUGGUACUUAUCAGACAGCUGAAGCAGUCUUGUCUUGUAAGAUCAGGAGUGCACUGAACCAACCAGUAAAAAGUCUGGAGUGCGGUGAUAAGCCCUACCGUGUGUAUGUGAGACAGAGGCGCUCUCGUGUGGAAACAGGGGAUGGCACGUGCGAGAAUUAAAUGAUGCUAGCCGUUGGAUGGAAGAAGAAGGAUAAUUGUUGAUCAAGCAAGUGGGAGUCAGCUUCUAGAAACUCUUAGCUUUUAUCUAUAAAUAAGAAGUCUCGGGUGUGAGAUCAGUCAUGCAGAAUUUUAUGUACAACUUCUCCUGCGUGGGAUUUAAGGGUAGUGAUCUAGAAGGUAUGAUGUUCUAGAUCUAUACUUGUAUGUAAUUCUGUAUUAAGAACUCUAUGAAUCCGUACUCAGUUCUUAACAUGCGGUCAAUUCGGUCUUUAUCGUAGAGAAUCUUCUAGAACUGUUGGCUGCUACCAUGGCAGCUUGGUUCAUAUUAGAUAACACCAAACCUAUAAACUGGUCUCUUUGAUUUUGAAUAGAAGAAAUAUUAUUGGGGUUCCUCAUGAUAUGUUCUCCUUCGUAUGUAACUGUCGAUAGAAUAUUCUUGUGAGAGUAUCUAAGUAUGCACUCCUCAUAAUAGAACACAGCUUCUCUCUGAUUUGGACACCGAGUUAACGAUUCGUUAACGGAGAAGGCAACGCAGUUACGGCAAACUUCGGGCGAGAGGUCUCCGCGGCAAAGGAAAAGUCCGGUGACCCUGUCGGGGGUUUGUCCCACCGUGGCGUUUUGGAAUCCGGUGGAAUAAGAGGCGUUACGGGAAGAUAGAGAGGACAAAAGGGUUUUGAGAUUGGUGGAGUAAGUGCUGUUACUUGUGUAAGUUGUCGUAUUUGGACAAUUAUGAUUUAGGUAAAAAGGAUCUUGAGCAGAAGCUCUGAAGCUAGUGAGGAAUGAGAAAAGGAAAAGGAAGGUGAAGGAGAAGAAAGAAGACAUGUUUUUUUUUCGACUUCCUUGAUUUGAGUUUCACAUCAUGGAGCUUCUUCCAUUUAUAAAUUGAAUUUUUUUCUUUUCUGCUGAUUAACGUGAAGUAUACGAUGGUUUGUGACGAUAAGUCGUCAAUCAAAGUUAAUGUUAAAGAGAGAUGAGAUUGAGAGUGAUCUUAGUAGGCCUAUUUGUAAAGUUCAUUGUUUCCAGACACAUCUUCACAGUUAAACCUUCCACUGAGCGUGUUGAUUUGUUCAGAUUCUGAAUCAAUGAAUGCUACAAAAUGAAUCAACUAGGGUUGUGAAAUUACUGUUUUAACUUAUAACUGUUGGUUUGUUACUUGUCUGGUAAGCAAGUUUAACGGUGCUGUCUUAUUUUAAGUCUCGGCGCCAAGCAGAACAAUAUUUUAUUUUAUAUCUUUGUCGGAAAUAUAUUGAUAGACGUCAAAACUUAGAAAUUUAUAAUUCCAUUUUCUCUACUUAUCGCUUCCAGCUGUUUUAGUCUAACAUUUAAAUAACAAGAAAAGUUGAUGUUACUCGUCUCGGUGACUUUGACUUUCAAGAUAUUGUAUUAGUUAUUUAAUUUACAACAAAAAAAAAAAGAAAAAAAAAAAAAACCUUUGACGUACUAGAUGGUUUCACAUUUCAUUUAUAUCACCACUUUACAAAUCAUGCAAAAUCGCACCUUCACAAUCCCACAGUACUCUGUUUACAAGAUCAUUGGAGGUAUUGCUGAAGCGAUUCUAGAAUGAUUCACAACUCAUAAUCAUACAUUGUGACUUCAAAGCAGGUAAUAUCCUCUUAGACGCUGAAAUGAACUCCAAAGUUACAGAUUUUGGAUUGGCCAAAUUUUUAGAAUGAAUUAAACUGUAAUGCCAACAUUCUAAGUGUUCUCUCCCUAUAUCAUUUUUUUCAUUCAGAGAGGUAAUGAAUUUUUUAAUCGGUGGUGAUGUCGACACUAGACUGAUUAUUCUUUAAUUAAAAAUCAAAACAAAUUACAUAUGGUUUUAACAAACCAAACCAAAUCAGACUAAACAACUCGUAGGGAUGAUCACGUCUAGAUAUAUGUAAAUAUAUGCUUAAACUUGAUUACAAGCUUGAGGUUAACAUCAUAAUUAGCGCAUAAUUAGCGCGGAUAUAAAUCAGUGAUCGCUGGAAAAGACUUGGUCGUGGUAGACUGAGGUCCUUUACAUGUCUACUUUGAAUGAAAAACCCUUGUUGCCGAGGAACUGGUAAAGUCACAGUAUUACUAGUGAGCAUCAUGAAAAUUGUUGAUACUGCCGGACGCUUUACAAGAUCUUUGAAGUCGAUCUUGUAAAGCAUCGUUUUGCUAAUUAACGAAGCUUAUUAAUUGAAACAUAACCAUGUCUAGUGACUUAGCGAUGUGCCUAAAUUGGCAUAGUCAGCAAGAAUUUAAGAUUUAAUAUAAAAUCAACAAAAAUUUUAGUAUCUAUUUUACUAGAUGCAAAGUUGAGGCAUUUUUUUCAACGAAAAUGCAUAGUUGAGAUUUUUAUAACAUGUUUCCCGAUUCUAGACUAAAAAGCAUGUACAAUGAACAAAGUUUUCUUUCAGUUAACUUUUCCAUUGUUCACUUUCUUUAUGUUCUCGGCAAGCUAAGAAAGUGAUGCUCUUCUUUUUUAACUUUUAUAAGUUCUCUCUCCCUAUCUCAAUUUUUCCCUUCAUAGGUAAUGAAUUUUCAAUCGGUGGUGAUGUUGAUAGCUGAGACUAAAUUAAUUAUUCUUGAACUAAGAAUCAAACCAAAUUACAUGUGGUUUUAACAAACCAAAUCAAAACUAACAAUAAACAUAGUUCAUCAAGUCUAGAAAUAUGAAAUAUAUGCUUAAACUUGAUUUCAAUCGUAAGGUUUAAUUACACCAUAUUCAACGAGGGUAUAAAUCAGAUAUCGAUGAAUCGUCAAUAGCUACUGGAACAGACUUGCUGGUCAUUGAUUGAUCUGAAUCAAGCGGGUUUGUUCCAGGUAUACUCCUUCCAAAAAACCCUGGUUGCUGAGGCAUUGGUAAAGUCAUUGUAUUACUAGUGAGCAUCACGGAAAUGGUUGACAAGGCAGGACGCUCUACUGGACUUUCUUGAACACAUAAAAGACCGAUAUGGAUGCAUCGAACCACUUCACUAUUUUGGCAGUCAUCUACAAUGAUUGGAUCCACCAGGUCUAAUGUUGUUCCGUUUCUCCAAAGCCUCCAAGCCUAGAAUAUCAAUGAGUCAAACAAUUAUUGCAACUAUUGCUUUUUGUAGGAUGAGGAGGGGCAUAUAUAAAAAUCAUUUCCUUUAAACUUACAUGUGUCACCAAGUCUUGUGCGUCAUCUGUCUCGUUGAAGCUGUUAUUCUUCCUACCGCUUAUAAUCUCAAGAACUAAUACUCCAAAACUGUAGACAUCAGAUUUCAUUGAGAAUUGGCCACGCAUCGCAUAUUCAGGAGACAUGUAACCGCUGGAAUCCACAUCAAAAAGUUUAAUAUGUUAUGAGAAUAAAAUGUUCAACGAAUUUCAACAUGUUGUCAAGUGGAAGACUUACUAGGUACCAACUAUUCUGCUUGUGUUCUGCUGGGUUUGAUCCAUUCCAAAGAUCCUUGCCAUUCCAAAAUCAGCAAUUUUAGGAUUCAUAUCUGCAUCCAGGAGAAUGUUACUCGCUUUAAGGUCACGGUGUAUGAUUGUGAGUCGUGAAUCUUGAUGAAGAUAUAGGAUCCCUCUAGCAAUCCCACUAAUGAUAUAGUAUCGCUGUGUCCAGUACAGCUGACCUUUCUUUGCAGGAUCUGUGCACAUCCAUGAAUAGUAGUUAGCUCUAACCAUGUUUCAAGACUGGUUAAGGAAUCAACGAAACAACUCAUCAAAUGCAACUGACCAAAUAGGAAGUUAUCAAGGCUUUUAUUUUCCACAUACUCAUAGACCAAUAUCCUUUCUUCUCCUUCUAUAGAAAAUCCGAGAAUCCUAACCAGAUUUUUGUGCCGAAGAUUUGCAACAACAACAACCUCGUUCUUGAAUUCUGUGUCACCUUGUUCUGAUGUUUUCGACAGUCUCUUCACUGCAACUUCGGUUCCAUUUGAAAAUGUACCCUAUCCAUUUUUAUCAGCAUUAUCUCGUUAUCUAAAUAUGUUGUAGCAAAAAAACACAAUCGAUAAAUUAUAUAGUAGUAUUUACUGUACCUUGUAAACGUCACCAAAUCCACCUCGACCAAUUUUAUUAUUCUCUGAAAAAUCAUUUGUUGUAGCUUGAAUUGCUCUAUAAUCAAGUUGCAGAGACUCUAUGGUUGUUUUAUCAUCUUCUGUUGCACAAUAAAUGUCUUAGUGAUCAGAAUAAAAAAAAAAAGAGGAAGCUGAUAAUUAAUGACAUUAAUCAAACCUAACUAAGAUUGUUAAUAUCACUUGAAUCUUUACCAUCUAAAGCAGGUGCUGUGCCAUAAGUCUUCUUUGCCCUCUUUGCAUAAAAACAAUAACCAGCUAUGAGAAGCAGAACAGCCACUAUGAUAGGCACAACAAUGGCUACCACUAACAAAUUUGAAUUCCCACUUUUACCUGUUUUCCGAAGAUCAUCUGCUUUAGUAAGAAAAUAGUAUACGAAUAACUAAACAAAUUUGAAAAUUCUGCUUUCCAUAUUGGUAAUACUGCGAAAGUCAAGUAAAUAGGGGGAAAAACAAAGGAAGAAGAAAGUGCUCACCAGGUAGUGAAGGAGAUGCCAACGGAGGCGUAGACCCUGGAAACCGCAGCGGCAGUGGUGGUGGUGGUGGUGGUGUACCAAUGGCAGUUUCGUCGUAGAACGCGUAAAGCUCGUACCUUGAAUUACAACUUGGCCAAAGAUGUCUUGCUCCAAUUCUAGAAAAUGGCAGUCUAUUGAUGGAACUUGUCAGACAACUCAUGCAGUUUUCUCUUGAAAGAUCAGGAGUGCAUUGAACGAGCCCGUACAAAGUCUGGAGUGCGGUCAAUUCGGUCUUUAUCGUAGAGAAUUUUCUAGAACUGUUGGCUGCUUCCGUGGCAGCUUGGUUCAUAUUAGAUAACACCAAAAUUAUAAACUGGUUUGUUUGAUUUUGAAUAGGAGAAAUAUUAUUAGGGUUCCUCAUGAUAUAUUCUCCUUCGUUUGUGUUGGCCGUCGAUAGAAUAUUCUUGUGAGAGUAUCUGAGCAUGCAUUCAUCGUAAUAGAACACAACUUCUCUCUGAUUUGGACACCGAGUUAACGUUUCGUUAACGGAGAAGGCGACGCAGUUACGGCAAACUUCCGGCGAGAGGUCUCCGCGGCAAAGGAAAAGUCCAGUGACCCUGUCGGGGGCUUGUCCCACCGUGGCGUUUUGAAAUCCGGUGGAAUAAGAGGCGUUGGGGGAAAAGAGAGAGGACAAAAGGGUUUUAAGAUUGGUGAAGUAAGUGCUGUUACUUGAGUAAGUUGUCCUAUUUGGACACCAAUAGGCUAGGUCAUUAGGUUCUUGAGCAGAAACUGUGAAGGUAGUGAGGAAUGAGAAAAGGAAAAGGAAGAUGAAAGUGGUCAGAGAAGACAUGGGUUUUUUCACAUCAUGGAGUUUCCAUUUAUAAACUGAAUUUUUUUCCCUCUAUUGCUGAUCAACGUGAAGUAUACGAUGGUUUGUGACGGCGAUAAGUCAGCCCUCUAUCAAAGUCAAUGUAAAGGAUUCUUUUUUUUUCUAAUGUCAUUUUUAUCAACAACAAAAGUAAAAUUUAUUAAAAAUGGCCAUAAACAUACCUUGAUUUCAGUGUUUUGAUCAAUGAUCCAACAAAAAAAACAUUUGUUGAGCCAAACCCAAAACUUGACCAAUGUUUCUCCAACUCUAAAUUAUAUGGGGGUUUGGUUUCAACUUUGAGAGAUUUUUUAAUUUGUAGAGAGUAUUGUAGUUAGAAUAAUUUUAAUAUUUUAUGGAUAUUCAUGGUUUUUUAAAUUUUUUUGACUUAUGAAUAAAAUUACAAACAAUUGAUCCGUCGAUAAAAAUAUAUUUAAUGAAACAAUUCUGUGAAUGACGAAUUUUUUUGCAUGGGAUUUAAUAAAACUAAAUUUUAUUAAGAAUAAAAAAAUCCAUAAAACAAUAACAAAAGAAUCUCAAGACAGGGGCGGAAUUAUGGGGAGUCUACUACGGCCUAUAUAUAGCUUGGGAGAAGAAAAUCACACGGUUGGAGCUGGAGGUAGACUCAGAUUUCUGAAGACAGGGGUGAGUGAGAUGCAUCCGCUGUCGUUUCUGGUACGUUUGUGCCAUGGCUUUUUAUCGAAGGACUGGAUAGUUCGUAUUUCGCAUGUGUAUAGGAAAGCUAACCGUUUUGCUGAUGGGUUAGCGAACUAUGCAUUUUCUUUGCCUCUUGGUUUUUAUUUUUUUUAUGUUGUUCCGAAUGAUGUUGAUUCACUUCUUAGUGAUGACGUGAUUGGGUCUACGCGCCCAAGACGUAUCCGUUUGUAGUUUGUUUAUUUUUUUCUUAAUAAAAGGGAGACAUAGUCUCCUAUUCCUUACAAAAAAAAAAAAAUAACAAAAGAAUCUCAAAAGUUGUGAAGGAUCCAUCUAUCAAUAACCCCCUAGAUAUCUAGAAGAUGUAUGAAAAUAUUUGAUAAAUUGUAAUAUAAAAAAAAUUUUGAAAAAAAAUUUAUUGAAAAAUAUGGAAAAGGUAUGGAGAUUGUGAGGAAAAUAGAGAUGAGAUUGAUCUAAGUAGGCAUAUUUGUAAAGUUCCUUGUUUCCAAAAUAAUGACUCUAAAAAUCAAAGACUACAUUUACAGUGAACCUUCCACUGAGCGUGUUGAUUGGUUCUGAUUCUUAAUCAAUGAAGGCUGCAAACUGAAUUAACUAGGGUUGUGAAAUUACUGUUUUAACUUAUAACUGUUCGUUUGUUACUUGUGUGGUAAGGAAGUUUAACGGUGCUGUCUUGUUGUCCCAAAGUCUCGGCGCCAAGCAGAAUAAUCACCAACUUAUUAAAUAAUAUUCAACUCCAAUAUUUUUAUAUCUUUCUCGAAACUAAUUGAUAGACAUCAAAACUUUUUUUUUUUUUUUAAGACAUCAAAACUUGGAAUUUUAUAAUUCUAUUUUAUCUGGUUAUAUCUUCCACAUGUAUUAGUCUAACAUUUAAAUUCCUCGUGUAGGUGACUUUGACUUUCAAGAUAUUGUAUUAGUUAUUUAGUUUACCAAAAAAAAAAAAAAAACUUUGACGUGCUAGAUGGUUUCACAAAUCAUGUAAAAUCACCUUCCCACAGUACUCUGUUUUCCCUCUGUUUACAAGAUCAUUGGAGGUAUUGCUAAAGCGAUUCUAUAAUGAUUCACAACUCAUAAUCAUACAUUGUGACUUCAAAGCAGGUAAUAUCCUCUUAGACGCUGAAAUGAACUUGGUCGUGGUAGACUGAUCUGAAUCAGGCGCUGAAAUGAAAGUUAUAGAUUUUGGAUUGGCCAAAUUUUUAGAAUGGACCAAACUGUAAUGCCAACAUUCUAAGUGUUCUCUCCCUAUCUCAUUUUUUCAGUCACAUAGGUAAUGAAUUUUCCAAUCGGUGGUGAUGUCGAGACUGAACUAAUUAUUCUUUAAUUAAAAAUAAAAACAAAUUACAUAGGGUUGAUCAUAUCUAGAAAUAUGUAAAUAUGCUUAAACUUGAUUACAAGCGUGAGGGAUAACAUCAUAUUUAGCGCGGAUAUAAAUCAGUGAUCGAUUCAUCGUCAAUAGACGCUGGAAUAGACUUGGUCGUGGUAGACUGAUCUGAAUCAGGCGGGUCCUUUACGGGUCUACUUUGAAUGAAAAACCCUGGUUGUCGAGGCACUGGUAAAGUCACAGUAUUACUGGUGAGCAUCAUGAAAACGGUUGAUAUUGUAGGACGCUUUACAGGAUCUUCUUGAACACAUAAAAGACCGAUAUGGAUGCAUCGCACCACUUCACUAUUCUGGCAAUUAUCUACUAUAAGUGGAUCCACGAGGUCUAAUGCUGUUCUGUUAUUCCAAAGCCUCCAAGCCUUGAAUAUCAAUCAAUCAAUCAGUUUGCUUAAUGUAGUGUAGGAGGGGUAAAAUAUUGAUUGCCUUAAAACUUACAUGUGUGAGCAAGUCUUGUGCACCAUCUGACUCUUCGAAGCUGCUAUUCUUCCUACCACUUAUAAUCUCAAGAACUAACACUCCGAAGCUAUAGACAUCAGAUUUCAUUGAGAAUUGGCCAUGCAUUGCAUAUUCGGGAGCCAUGUAACCGCUGGAAUCCACAACAAAACUUUAGUAUGUUAACAAAAUAAUGUUCAACAUAUAUUAACUUAUGAGAUGUUAAGUGGAAGACUUACUAGGUACCAACUAUUCUGCUUGUGUUAUCCUGGGUUUGGUCCAAUCCGAAGAUCCUAGCCAUUCCAAAAUCUGCAAUUUUUGGAUUUAUAUCCGCAUCUAGGAGAAUGUUACUUGCUUUAAGGUCACGGUGUAUGAUUGUGAGCUGCGAAUCUUGAUGAAGAUAUAGAAUCCCCCGAGCAAUUCCUCCAAUGAUCUUGUAUCGUAGAGUCCAGUUCAGCUGAAUUUGCUUUGUAGGGUCUGUGCAUAUCCAUUGAUUAUAGUUAAUUCUAAGAUCAGCAACCCAAAGUUCAAGAAUGGUUAAAGAAUCAUUGAAACAAAGCAAUAAAUGCAACUGACCAAAGAGUAAGUAAUCAAGGCUUUUGUUGGACAUAUACUCGUAGACCAAUAGUCUUUCUUCUCCUUGUAGCGAAAACCCAAGAAGCCUAACCAAAUUUCUGUGCUGAAGCUUUGCAACUACAACAACCUCGGUCUUGAACUCUGCUUCGCCUUGUCUUGAAUUUUUCGACAAUCUCUUCACCGCAACUUCUUUCCCAUUUGAAAAUGUGCCCUAUCCAUUUAAAAGUUUUAAUCAGCAUCAUCUUGUAAUCCAAUGUGUUGACACAAAGUACUCAACCUAGGGUGCAGCUAAAUAAUUCAUAGUAACAUAUUAUACCUUGUAAACCUCACCAAAACCACCUCGACCAAUCUUAUUACUCUCUGCAAAAUCAUUUGUUGCACUUUGGAUUGUUCUAUAGUCGAGCUGUAGUGAGUCUGCGGUUGUUAUAUCAUCUCCUCCUUCACAAUAAAUGUUUUAGUAAUCAGCUAAAGAGGCUGAUGAAAAUGACCACUAAUCAAACUCAGUUAAGAUUGUUUAUUAAAUCUUUACCCUCAGAUGCAGGUGCUGUGUCAAAAGACUUCUUUUUCCUUUUUGCAAGGAAACAAUAACCAGCUAUGAAAAGCAGAACAGCCACUAUGAUAGGCACAACAAUGGCUACCACUAACACGUUUGAAUUCCUACCUGUCCCUGUUAUUUCAAACAUCAAUGGCAAGCAGAAGUAUAAAAAAUAUAUAAUCAAUCGAAAGGACAAAAGUUUCCCUGUUGGUACUACUAAUUUCAAGAAAUCAGGGGAAAAAAACAGAGGAAGGAGAAAGAGUUCACCAGGUAAUGAAGGAGAUGCCAUUGGAGGAGUAGACACCAACGACUCCAGCGGUGGUGGUGCUUCAAUGACGCUUUCGUUGUAGAACGGGUAAAGCUCGUACCUUGAGUUACAGCUUGGCCAGAGAAGUCUUCCUCCGAUUCUGUAAAGAGGCAUUCCAUUGAUGGAGUAUUGCAGACAGGCCAAGCAGUCUUGUCUUCUAAGAUCAGGAGUGCAUUGAACCAGUACGUGCAAACUCCGGAGUGCGGUCCAGUUGGCCCUUAUUGUAUAGAACUUCCUAGAAUUAUUCACUGCCUCCUCGGCAGCUUGGUUCAUCGUGGACGAUACAAAAUCUCCGAAUCGGUCUUCUAGUUGAGAUGAAAUAUUAUUGGGGUUCGUCAUGAUGAAUCCUCCAUGGUAUAUAAGGGUCGAUAGAAUAUUCUUGUGAGAGUAUCUGAGCAUGCACUCCUCGUAAUAGAACACAGCUUCUCUCUGAUUUGGACACCGAGUUAACGUUUCGUUAACGGAGAAGGCGAUGCAGUUACGGCAAACUUCGGGCGAGAGGUCUCCGCGGCAAAGGAAAAGUCCAGUGACCCUGUCGGGGGCUUGUCCCACCUUGGCGUUUUGGAAUCCGGUGGAGUAAGAGGCAUUGGGGGAGGAGAGAGACGAUAAAAGGGUUUUGAGAUUGGUGAAGUAAGUGCUGUUCCUUGAGUAAGUUGUCGUAUUUGGACAAUGAUCGUAUGUGAAAGUAGGCUUCUGAGCAGAAGCUUUGAAGCUAGUGAGGAGGGAGAAAAGGAAAAGGAGUAUGAAAGCGGCGUAAAGAGGCAUGGCUAGACUUCCCUGAUUUGGGUUUCAAAUCAUGGAGCUCCCAUUUAUAACUUCUAUUCUCCACUACUGUAGAUUAACGUGAAGUAGAGGAUGGUUUGUGACGACCUUAAGUCUGUCAAAGUCAUAGUAAACGCCUCUUUUAUUUAUUUUCUUUCCUUGUAUUGCAUGCCAAAUUUAUAGUUUUACUUACCGGAGAAUGAUGACAAAAAAAAAGUUGUGUACACUGUUAAAUAUUCUUCGACAGUAUGUUUUGUUGGAACAGAGAUGUGCUAGGUAAGUACUUGUCUUGCGCAAGAAGCUAUGGAGUUUGUGAGAUGAUAAUGAUGCAAGUAGGCAUGUUUCAGUACCUUGUUUCCCAAAAUGACUCUGAAAAUCUAAUACACAUGCAGUUGUAAAGUAAACAAGGUAAAGUACUAAAAAAAGUACUUUAAUAGGAACUCAACGCGAGUAUCUUAAGCAGUAAGUCAACCUUCUACCGAGAGUGUUAAUUGGUUAUAUAAAUCCGUUAAGGCUAGAAACUUGUUGAUGUGUAGACUGUAGACUCCAACAAAUAUGUCAAUGAAGGUCUCAAGGAAGAAAGAAGAAUUUCUUAGGGCAAUUUUACAGGGAUACGAACGAAAUGGGUUACACGUUUUUGUCUACCAAACAGAAUCAGUCCACUUCGUCUAAGCCGAGCAGGGCUGAUCUUUGGAUGAGUGGGUGUUUUAGACAGGUGGGAUUGAUGACGUAUAUUAGUAUUACUUACUACGUCUGUCAGCGGAAAAUUCGGGAGCCUUUUUCUUUAAGUUUCUUCUCUGUAUUUUUAUAGGGGAGAUGGUCAGUUACCCUUUUAAACUGAUGAGGUGGAUUGGGCUGAUUCUAUCUCUUUUGAUGGAUUUAGGCAGAGCCUGUUUGUAUGGCGCAGCCCACACCCAACAAAACUGAAUAGAACUAGGGUUGGGAAAUUACUGUUUUAACUUAUAACUGUUGGUUUGUUACUUGUCAGGUACGGAAGUUUAACGGUGCUCUCUUAUUGACCUAAAGUCUCCGCGGCUAGCUGAAUAAUCACCAACCUAUUAAAUAUCCAACUCCAAUAUGUUUAUCUUUUUCCGGAAAUAGAUUGAUAGAAUAGUUAAAAAUUUCUAAUUAUAUUUUCUCUGGUUUUCGCUUUCACAUGUUUAUUCUAACAUUUAUAUAGUUGAUUCAUUUUAAUUAACAAUACAAGUUGAUGUUACUCGUCUAGUUGACCUUGACUUGCAAGAAAUUGUAUUAUUUUACAAAACCAAAACUUGACUGGCUUGGCUGGUUUCACAUUCAUUCAUUAGUAGAACUCAUAAACCAAUCAUUAAAAGCAAGAACAAAAAAAUACAGAGCGGAAAGGUGAAGAAAUUGGAUAAUGUCUGCUUAUGCCUCAUUAAACUCUCUCUUCCUUCUCACCUUCUUCAUUGCAAGCUUGAGAGCUUCUGCACUAUUACAAGACCCAACUUACGUUGGCGAUGUUUGCACUAACAGGAUAUCAAGAAACUCCACUUACUUCUCAAAUCUCCAAACCCUUUUGACCUCUCUUUCUUCUAACAAUGCUUACUUUUCUUUGGGAUCUCAUAGUCUCACAAAGGGUCAAAACUCCGACAUGGUGUUCGGUCUUUACCUCUGCAAAGGAGAUCUCUCGCCCGAAGCUUGCCGUGACUGCGUCAUCUUUGCUACUAAAGACACUCGGAGUCGAUGUCCAGGUGGGAAAGAGUUCUUGAUUCAGUAUGACGAGUGCAUGCUUGGAUACUCAGACAGGAAUAUAUUCAUGGAUACUGUAACCACAACUACAAUAAUCACUUGGAACACUCAGAAUGUUACGGUGGAACAAUCCGACCGGUUCAAUGAUGCAGUGGUUUCUCUGAUGAAAAAGUCUGCAGAGGAAGCGGCUAAUAGUACAAGCAAGAAAUUCGCGGUUGAGAAGUCGGAUUUCAGUUCGUCUCAGUCGCUUUAUGCAUCGGUUCAGUGCAUUCCUGAUCUGACUAGUGAAGAUUGCGUAAGGUGUCUUCAACAAUCCAUCAAAGAAUUAUAUUUCAAUAAAGUCGGAGGAAGAUUUCUUGUCCCGAGUUGUAACUCAAGGUACGAGCUUUACCCUUUCUACAAGGAAACCGUAGAGGGAACUGUUCUUCCUCCGCCUGUUUCGUCUCCUCCACUGCCACCGGUUUUAACUCCUCCAUUUCCGCCUGGUAAGAGCUCUGUCUUAUUCACUUACAUAUAUAAUAGUUAUUUUGGUUUGAGACAUUCAAAAGUUGGGAAAUUAUAUGUCAUGUCUAAUAUAAGACUUAUGCAGGAAAAGGCAAAAAUUCCAAAGUGAUAAUCAUAGCAGUUGUUGUGCCGGUGGCUAUAUGUGUUCUUCUUUUUGUGGCUGUUUUUAGUUUCCAUGUAAGAAAGAGAGCGAAGAAGCCUUCUGAUACAGAAGUUGCAAAUGAUGGUAAAGAUUCCAAAAUCUAUGUUUGUGUUGCUUAAACUUUUAUGGAUUUCAAUUCUUAAAUCUUUUGCAGGAGAGGAUGACAUUACAACUGCAGGAUCACUGCAGUUUGAUUUUAAGGUUAUUGAAGCUGCGACAGAUAAGUUUUCGAUGUGUAACAAACUCGGUCAAGGUGGAUUUGGACAAGUUUACAAGGUACCACUACCAGUUCAUUGAGCUUCCUAAUUACUUGCAUAAAAGAUUCAAAUAAGGGGAUGGCUCUGUUUAAUUUACUAUCUUUUAAGGGCAUACUUUCUAAUGGAGUACAAGUUGCCGUGAAGAGACUAUCGAAAACAUCAGGACAAGGUGAAAAAGAGUUCAAGAACGAAGUUGUUGUUGUGGCAAAGCUUCAGCACAGAAAUCUUGUCAAGCUUCUUGGAUUUUGUUUAGAGAGGGAAGAGAAAAUACUUGUCUACGAGUUUGUGUCUAAUAAAAGUCUUGAUUACUUCUUGUUUGGUAAGUUUUAGCUUAGGAAAGAUAUUUCAUUUUGGAACUCAUGUUUUAGACAUUCUAAUUAUAUGGAUGUGCAGAUUCUAGAAUGCAGAGCCAGCUAGAUUGGACUACAAGGUAUAAGAUCAUAGGAGGAAUUGCUAGAGGAAUAUUGUAUCUCCAUCAAGAUUCACGACUCACAAUCAUACAUCGAGACCUAAAAGCGGGUAACAUCCUCUUGGACGCUGAUAUGAACCCAAAAGUUGCAGAUUUUGGAAUGGCGAGGAUUUUCGAAAUGGACCAAACAGAAGCCCAUACGAGAAGAGUAGUCGGAACCUAGUAAGUUUUGGUCUUGCCAUCUAUUAAAUAUAAAAAUCCCCUAUUAACUCCAACAUAUAUGUAUUGUGGCAGUG
This 43764-nucleotide long non-coding RNA is filed under the name Arabidopsis lyrata. RNAcentral's name for it is "long non-coding RNA (ALYR_LNC000845)". Lineage: Eukaryota; Viridiplantae; Streptophyta; Magnoliopsida; Brassicales; Brassicaceae. The record is from RNAcentral.